ACGUACAAGUCGCAAACUGGAGGUACUCAGUCGAGAAGUGAACAUUCUAGCCCUAAAGCAAGCAGGAGACCGUUCUAUUACUUCUGUGCUAGUCUACAUUGAUUGCCACCGACGAUUUUGUUUCGCUUUUGGCAGAAGUGAAAUUAGGGGCUUUGCUUGGUAUUUUGCAGCUCCAACUAAAAUAAUGGUUGAAUCCUUCUUGAUUUUGUGAAAUUCAACUGCUUGAAGAGAAAUUGGUGUUUCAGCCGGCUUAUCUUUUCUUUGUUAAUAUGUUUUUCAUAGCAGCUCCAUCUCCAUAAGUGAGGACUCAAAGAAGUCAUUAAAGUGAUAUUUUAGGGCUAUGUCCAGCGGCAUCCCAACCUCAAUCAUCAACUUUGGAAUAUAUCAGCGAGACAACAAAGACUACUGCUGUAAAUUAAUGGGAAUGGAGACAACUGAUCGGGUGACUUAAAAUUCUUUACCAGUAACUCAUGUUGGUAUUAGCUACUAUAAUUUUCCAAACAAAGUUUUAAGCUCUAUUACUCAAAACUUAAGUUUUAAAGAGAUAAUACUAUGUUAUAUACUUUUGCUGUCAAGUAACUACUGCUUUGUAAAUCCAAAUAGAAAUAGUGAUAGCCUUGUCAUAUAGUUAAAUUGUUAGAAGAAAUUUCUGUUUCUUAUUGAUGUAUCCCCUCAAACUGAUUCAGACUUUGUUAAAGGCUUAUUUAAUCAACCUAUUUAUAUGAGCUUUUUACAGAUAAAUCUUUAUUCUUUUAAGUCAAACUACUUAUAAACAAACCCUAUUUAUAAGUUAAACAUAGUUACUUAAAUGAAAAAGGUCUACAAAUAACUAUAAAUUGGGAUUGCCAUUGUCAGCUAGCAUAUACUUGUUCUUGAUAUAGACGAAAUGACAGGCUCACUAAUGCAAUCCAUAAAAUUUGAAGCUUUACUGUUCCUGAUGGUGAGUUAGUAUUUGUUACGGUUUCCAUAGUCAUUUUCAGCUGCAACGUAUACUACAGCUCUUCAAUUUCAACUCUCCGUUCUCCUAUUGCUAUCAGAAGAGUGGUGAUCUUCAAGAGGAACACAGAGAAAAUCAUAUUUUAGCCGUACAUGUUCUGUGAUGUUCUUUCUGUAAGUAACUUAUUUUUAGGCGAUUCGUGUUCCCCUUACAUUAAAGGGCAAUCUUAAGAAUUAGCUUGUUCGGGCAAAUAUUGUUUCUAACACAAUAUACAGCAUUAAUACAAUCAUCGUGCAGAAUUAGCUUGUAACUCGAUUUCUUUUCUCAUCUUGUUAUUAAUGAUCUUUCUUUCCAUUUCUAGAUGGGUUCAGGACUACACUGGACCUACGUACUACUUCUAUUCCUCUCUUAAUGAUAUAUUCCAUUAGAUAGAUAUAUGUUUCCAGUGUGAUAGUUGUGUUACAUAUGCAGAUGCAGGUUAAUGGACUUUCAGGUGCAGAAAAGUUCCUUUCCUUCUCUUUGUGCUGUUCUGCAUGUUCAUUGGGUCAGGUAGCCCUGCAGACUGAAAUGCUUCCCUAUGUUAGUACCACAAAGUACUAUAAGUUGCUACAGAAAAUUGCGCUAUCAUUUUAUUUCAACCCAAAAUAACAUGCUUUAUAACUUUGUAUUGAAAUGUUAGGUUGCGUAUUCUCUAUGGACCGAAAUUAGUAACUUCAUAAGUUCACUUUUACGAACUCUUUUGGUAUUUGUUUAGAAAACUUUUUUGUAAUUUAUUAUCAAUCUUUACUCAUUUUUACCAGUAAGUCUUGUUGGUAUUAGUUGUAACUUUUCCAACAAAAUUUUAAGCAGUGCUUACUAUUUUGUAUUAACAUAUUUAUCUUUAGCUGUUAAUUCUUUCAUCUAAAUGUUCAUGUUUUAAAGUACAUUUGGUGACUAAUUGUAUGCUUUUUUUGGCAAAAUCUUGUUGAUAUUGUGGAUCUUUAAGCCAUGACUGCUGAAGGAAGCAGGAUUGGAGGUAGAAUGACAGACGUGGAAACUACAUCAGAUUUCCACUGACAUUCCAACAAUAGUUAAAAAAGCGGCACUGCAUCAGCAGAGGAUUUGACCUUGGUAGAUGCACUAUCGCUUUCCUGGAUUUUGCUUUAUUUGAGAUAGAUAACCGUCGCCCAUGUUUGUGCUGAUAGCAGGAUCUAUAAUACAACUGUAUGGUAUAUCUCUCAGGUAAAGUUUUUCUUCUCACAAUCUGAUAUAAGGUUUUAAUUUUUUCUAGACGUGGAAUGGAAUUGGCCUGGCUAAUGAAAAAAAUUGUUGUUAGGACUAUGGGGUACCAACUUGGCAAAAACUUCAGAUAGGUGUGAUUGGUAAUAAUCAAUCUCUAUAUUGCUAAAUGAUAUAAUCAUUGAUAAGCAGGUCAUUACCACAUAACUUGAUACAUUCAACUGAUUUAGAUAAAACGAUGCAUUUCUUUCGAGUUAUGGCUUAACUAGGGGGAUCGAGCUAUGAAUUGAUGGAAAUUUUCUUUUUGUUCUUCACUGAGGCCGAGCCUUGGCGCAGCGGUAACAGUUAUUGCUGCAUGACUAGGAGCUCAUGGGUUCACAGCAAGAAACAUUCUCUGACAGAAAUGCAAGAUAAGACUACAUAUAAAACUGUAUAGAAAUGUGAUCCAGCCUUUUUCCGCCGUUCUCUGCUCUCUAUUCCUCACUGCCUCCGCCAAGUUAUUUGAAUCCAUUUUGUAGGGACAGUACAGAACAACAAAUGAUAUCAAUGUGAUCUGGCCUUUCCCUAAACUUGGUCCAUUAGCGAGAACUUAGUGUAUCGAUCUGGCAUUUUAUAUUCUCUGUUCCUUGCUAGCCCCUGCAAUUUAUUUGAAUAGCGACAUUAUAGAACAGACCAAUGAUAUCAAUCUGCUUAUCUGCUGGUAUGGAUACAAGGGCAUACCGCUUGAGUUGCUUGAAAGAAACUAACAUUUUUUAGAUUGAUUUGCCAGAGGUCUUGCAGAUUAAAACUACUGUUCUAAAAGAGGCAAUCAAUGAAUAAAAACACCCAAUGCUGACACCAAAAUCAUUGAAGAGAGUGAAAAGAUUGGUUUGAAAAGCUUCAAUCAUCAGAUUUAGAGCUAAAGAAGAAUACAAUGUGGGUAUUAGAGGGAAUCAUCUACGAUCUAUCACACUCUCAUGCAAUGGAAGUACUUAAUGUUAUUGCAAAUAACUGUGCCUCUGGUCAUACAGUACUUUUAGCAGAUCUCAUGAACAAGCAAUCAACCACAAUGUGCAGUUCCAUUUUCCAUUUCUAUAGUGAUUGGCCUCUUCUGUUGUUGCCAUCACUAGGAUUUUCUCAAGUUAAUCUAUGCACUACAGAUAUUCUUUUAUGCCUUUGUAAAAAAUACUUACAUUUGGAAUGCAUAGUAGCACCAAGAAAGCUAAAAGAAUGCAACACCAGCUUAUCUUUGUUAUUGAAGGACUGUAAGCAUAAGUAUAUUGAUCUCUUUUAACUUCUGGAAUUAUAUUCUACUGCGAUGUAGAUCAAGGAAAAUUUCAUUAUCUGGGA
This is a non-coding RNA of Nicotiana tabacum (common tobacco), 3484 nucleotides long. NCBI's taxonomy places the organism in Eukaryota, Viridiplantae, Streptophyta, Magnoliopsida, Solanales, Solanaceae. The record is from RefSeq and is a predicted model, not a curated record.